UUUAAUUAAAGCAACUCUGCGACCCUUGAAAUCCCGGAAUACUUCUUCGACAGUACGAGGAUUGUAAGGAGUACCACCGUCCAUGGUUUUAUUUUUUGGAGGUGAAAGUGAAAAAAGUGAAGAGAAUGUGGAUUUGUGGAGGGAAAAAUCGAUGGAAGAAACUGUUUGACCCUUCUCUCUCUCUCUCUCUCUCUUUUUCUUUUUCUCUCUGUUGUGUGUCCAAACAACAACAAACAUGAUUUGAUUUUACUUUAUUACUACCGGAUUUGAAUCGGGAAGAAGUGGAUUGUGUUAACUGGAUUUUAUAAAAGCCCAUCGAGUCCGUCAACCCGGUUACAGUUUUAAGUUUUUAUCUCCUCUUCAUUUUUUUUAGUCAGAUUUUUUAAAAUUAAUUUUUUAAAAAAUGGGAUAUAAUUAACUAUCAUAAUUUUACAUCCACAUUCAAUCAUAAUAAAAUAUGUAAAAUUUGUUUAAAUUUCUUUUUUCAAAAUAUUAUUGUUAAGAAAAAUUAUAAAUAUUUUAACAUAUAAUUAAUAUAUUAAUUAAUAUUACAAAUUUAGUUAUUCAAUAGUACGACACUUAAAAUAAAAUUUAAAAACUAUAAUUGCAUGUGAUGAAAAAUACAAAUCACACAAUCAUCGAUCUAGUUGAUGAGUCACUAGUUGAACAAUUUAACUGUUGACCCAACUGACGUAUAUUAAAAUUUUAAAAUAUAAUCAUGAUAAUAAUAUAUUUUUAAUAAAAGUAUAUAUUUUGUUUUAAACUAAACUAAACAAAUAAAUUUUACAUGAGUUGAAAAUUAAAAAAAAAAAAAAUUAUAGUAGAAAUAGAUUUUUAUUUGACUAAUUUAAUAUAGAAAGUUGAAAAUUAUAACUGUUGUUUUUUUAAAAAAUGUAACUGGUUGAAUUUUAAAAUAAAUAACUUCUACACAGCCUUGAAAUCCCGGAAUACUUCUUCGACAGUACGAGGAUUGUAAGGAGUACCACCGUCCAUGGUUUUAUUUUUUGGAGGUGAAAGUGAAAAAAGUGAAGAGAAUGUGGAUUUGUGGAGGGAAAAAUCGAUGGAAGAAACUGUUUGACCCUUCUCUCUCUCUCUCUCUCUCUUUUUCUUUUUCUCUCUGUU
Molecule: long non-coding RNA, 1122 nt
Filed under: Cicer arietinum (chickpea)
Lineage: Eukaryota; Viridiplantae; Streptophyta; Magnoliopsida; Fabales; Fabaceae
Description: long non-coding RNA (CARI_LNC001293)
Source: RNAcentral